AACGCUAGCUACAGGCUUAACACAUGCAAGUCGAGGGGCAGCAUGAGUUUGCUUGCAAACCUUGAUGGCGACCGGCGCACGGGUGCGUAACGCGUAUCCAACCUUCCAGCUACUAGGGAAUAGCCCGUUUGAAAAGACGGAUUAAUGCCCUAUGUGUUCAUUUAGAUGGCAUCAGAUGUUGAACAAAGAUUCAUCGGUAGCUGAUGGGGAUGCGUAUGAUUAGCUAGUCGGCGGGGUAACGGCCCACCGAGGCUACGAUCAUUAGGGGUUCUGAGAGGAAGGUCCCCCACACUGGUACUGAGACACGGACCAGACUCCUACGGGAGGCAGCAGUGAGGAAUAUUGGUCAAUGGGCGUAAGCCUGAACCAGCCAAGUAGCGUGCAGGAGGACGGCCCUAUGGGUUGUAAACUGCUUUUAUGCGGGGAUAAAGUUAGGGACGUGUCCCUUUUGCAGGUACCGCAUGAAUAAGGACCGGCUAAUUCCGUGCC
This 489-nucleotide ribosomal RNA is filed under the name uncultured bacterium. Its description in RNAcentral is "bacterial SSU rRNA". It matches the Rfam family "Bacterial small subunit ribosomal RNA", at positions 32 to 509 of the family's 1533-position model. The record is from RNAcentral.